GGUUGUGGUAGUUUCUUUCUGGCACAUUUGUUAAGGUUUCAAAUGGGCCUGACUCUACCACAUACAUUGUAAGGAGCUGGCAAAGCCUUAAAGACAGAAGGAUCUCUUUUGAGCUUUUUGUGCAUCAGAUAUUAGCUCUCACAGUC
Molecule: small nucleolar RNA, 146 nt
Organism: Heterocephalus glaber (naked mole-rat)
Lineage: Eukaryota; Metazoa; Chordata; Mammalia; Rodentia; Bathyergidae
Product: small nucleolar RNA, H/ACA box 12
Source: Ensembl